GGGAGGCAGCAGUGGGGAAUUUUCCGCAAUGGGCGAAAGCCUGACGGAGCAACGCCGCGUGAGGGAUGAAGGUUUUCGGAUCGUAAACCUCUGUCUUCAGGGACGAUAAUGACGGUACCUGAGGAGGAAGCCACGGCUAACUACGUGCCAGCAGCCGCGGUAAUACGUAGGUGGCGAGCGUUGUCCGGAAUUACUGGGCGUAAAGGGCGUGUAGGCGGUCUGAUAAGUCAGACGUGAAAUCUCCAGGCUUAACCUGGAAACUGCGUUUGAAACUGUCGGACUUGAGGACCGGAGAGGGUAGUGGAAUUCCCAGUGUAGCGGUGAAAUGCGUAGAUAUUGGGAGGAACACCAGUGGCGAAGGCGACUACCUGGACGGCACCUGACGCUGAGGCGCGAAAGCUAGGGGAGCAAACGGGAUUAGAUACCCCGGU
Molecule: ribosomal RNA, 431 nt
Filed under: uncultured bacterium
Lineage: Bacteria
Description: bacterial SSU rRNA
Rfam family: Bacterial small subunit ribosomal RNA
Source: RNAcentral